GGAUUGUGGCUCAGUGGUAGAGUGCUUGUCUAGCACAUGCAAAUCCCUGGGUUCAAUCCUCAGCACCA
This 68-nucleotide transfer RNA is filed under the name Marmota monax (woodchuck). Its description in RNAcentral is "tRNA.Ala". The record is from RNAcentral. Lineage: Eukaryota; Metazoa; Chordata; Mammalia; Rodentia; Sciuridae.